GGGGGGGGUUUGGGCGAGGGGAGGCGAGUGGCUUAGUGCAUCACACAUGUCUGCAUAAUGAAGUCAAGUUUCUGAAUAUCUGAAACAGAAGAGGAAAACUCCAGUGUUUCUUUGGAAGGAGCAGCAGGAUUGACCUUGGCCCCCCACUGCUCCAUCCUAAUAGAGAUAUGGUACCACUGACCAACAUUCGACUCAGAGUCUUUGAAAUACACAAACUUAAUACGACUACUUCUAUACAUAUUUAACUGCUAUUUUACACUGUUAUUAUCCUAACCUACUUAAACGUUACAAUGAGAGGUGGCAUUCUCUGUAUUUUCAUGGGUUUGGAGCUUUGUUUAUAUUAUGAGCAUGACUUAAAAGUCAGAUGAUAUUACCUGGCCAUCCAUCCAGCAGCAGACGCGAAGAGCUGGGGGCGAUUUGUUUUCCCAUGGGUGACUGUUUCUGCCAGUGCAGCAUAUUGUCACAGCAGGGCAUAUUGUCUGUGUCCAGCACUCUUGUCCUAGCACUGUGAAAGUCAGGCGUUCAGUGAAGCUAACAGAUCUCGAUGCGCACACACACAGGCACACACACAGGCACACACACAGGCACACACACAGGCACACACACAGGCACACACACAGGCACACACACACACAGGCACACACACACAGGCACACACACACAGGCACACACACACAGGCACACACACACAGGCACACACACACAGGCACACACACACAGGCACACACACAGGCACACACACAGGCACACAGAUUGCAGUUGCAUUCCCUGGCAUCGUUUACCACGAGGAGGAUUGUUCAUAGAGCUCGUUUCCAGUUUGUAUUCUCUCUAAAUGUGAGCCACACUGGGCCACUAUGAGACAAUAUAAACACACACACACAGACACUGAGAUACAGGUGUGAUCUUCAGACCAGUGAAAGAGUCACUGUGGAAGGCUUUUAAGCGGAAAUCCCUGCGUUUACAUUUUUUGUAGCUUCCAGGAGAGAAGGAGGGACCUUCAGAGUGUGAUGGAAAUGAUUAGAUAGAACUAGCAUUAGAAGAGAGAGAGUGAGCGUAUGUAUGUACGUAUGUAUAUGUGUGUGUGUGUGUGUGUAGUCACAUCAGGGGUGGCUAUGGCGAUUAAAAACAAAUACUUGAUGUCAGCAUGUAAACUGGUGAUGCUUGUCUUUGUAAGACAUUGUUACCUCCCUCAAUAAACACUCUCUUACCAAGGAAGGAAUUUCACAACUUAACAAUUUUCACAAUUUCCAGAGGGGGACCAUAUACUAGACUGGCUCCUGUAUGCUGGUUUGCUUUUCACCCUUCACACAAUGAUGGUGCUCUACAGGGUGCGUGUUUCAUUUCAAACAAAGGGCCGGAACACUUUACUCUGUUACAGGUUGACGUCUCUCUUACUCAUUUGGGAAUUAUUAUUUGCUGGUUUCUGGUCACUAUGACGUUUCUCUCUUAGACCUUGAGCUCUGUUAUGGCUGCAGCAAUUUAACUUUCUUUAUUCUGGAAAAGUUUGAGCUCAUAUAUAUAUAUAUAUAUAUAUAUUUCUUUUUUGUAUAAAAAUCUGAACAUAUUUUUACUCAUUAAAUACUAGUUCUGUGUGUGGCUUCUUAUCCUGGUUUCUCAUUUAUCGGAAAUGUCCUAUAUAAACUGUACAUUAUGGAACACUGUAACAAUACUCCCAAACGAAACAUUUUAGGGUGUUUUGUCUUUAUAUGUAUAACAAUAUCACUACACAUGGUGAGGCUCGUGUGUGUGGGUGUCUGAGAGAGAGUAAUACUGUGUGAGACAGAAAUACCACACACACACACUCAUCUAUAAAUACUCUGAAUAGCUCCAUCUGUGGCCUUUCAGAUCAGACUGGAGCUCCUUUUGUGAAGGAGCGACUGUAGGCCCUGUCAGGGGCUGUGCUGUGCUGUCCUGUCCUGUCCUGUCCUGAGGACAUUCAAUUCAAUUCAAUUUGAUUUAUAUAACAAUACAAUUGUCUCUAGGCGCUUUACAGAGCCCAGAGCCUGAACCCCCUUAGUGCAAGCACAUUGGCAACACGGGCAAGAAAAAACUCCCUGUUGGUCAGGAAGGAACCUUAAGCAGAACCACGGCACAUAAGGGGGAACCCAUCUGCUUGAGGUCGGCCGGGUGGAGACAUGCAUCUGUACACAUUGCCUGCCCAGCUCUUUCUUUCUGUCUCUCUCUCUCUGUCGGUCGGGUCUGUCUGUCUCUCUCUCUCCCCCCGGGGAAGAUGGGACACCACUGCUGCAGGGAGGCCUCUCCGCACAGACCUCCUCCCAGUGCAGCUGAGGCCACGGCACGGCUGAGUUAUAACAGUUUGGCACACUUAUGUUAUUGCUUUUCUCUCUGUCUCUCUCGUAGUUUGGCCUAGCUACAAUAUCACACACACUCUCUAAAACAUGACACACAUACACUUUCAGACUUUCUCUCAGUGUGGCUGUGCUAUAAUCUCUAUCUCUUUCUCAAACACUCUCGCUCUCUCUAGGAGGAACAAAAAUAGCUGAUGGCUUCUUUGCCGUGUAGAAUCGUGGAGAAUUGCGGAAUAAUUGCAUUUGGGCC
Long non-coding RNA from Clupea harengus (Atlantic herring), 2559 nucleotides. Lineage: Eukaryota; Metazoa; Chordata; Actinopteri; Clupeiformes; Clupeidae. The record is from Ensembl.